RNAcentral lists this transfer RNA (72 nucleotides) under Stegodyphus mimosarum. It matches the Rfam family "tRNA". From Rfam's summary of the family: Transfer RNA (tRNA) molecules are approximately 80 nucleotides in length. The record is from Rfam by way of RNAcentral. Lineage: Eukaryota; Metazoa; Arthropoda; Arachnida; Araneae; Eresidae.
GCCUUUGUGGUGUAAUGGUCAGCACACUCAACGCCUAUUCGAAAGUCCAAGGUUCGAGUCCUGGCUAGAGCA